GGAGAUCGCCGCUGCUCAGGGCAGAUCGCCCCCUAAAGGCCCAGCUCCUUCAGAGGCCCAGCCCGCCCAACAACGCAAGAAGCUCAUCCUCAGGAAGCCAAAGAGGAAAACCCCUCAGGUGGUCCAUGAGGAUGAAGAAGAAGACGAUGAGGCAACUGAAGAUGGCCUCAUCACCAAAAGAAAGAGGGUGGCGCCUUCUUCACCACCUGCUCCACCUCCUCCUCCAACAUCAACACCGCCUUCUCCGCCAGCUCUACCUCCAACACUGCCUCCUCCCCCAGCUCCCACAUCGCCAGUCCAAGCAGUUCCCUUGGCGGCGGCAUUUCCUGUGGUUGAGGCUGCUGAGCCCAACUUCAUGGAGAACCCCCCGAGCGCCUCCACGCCAUAUGUAUCUGCUGGAGG
RNAcentral lists this long non-coding RNA (402 nucleotides) under Phaseolus vulgaris (common bean). RNAcentral describes it as "long non-coding RNA (PVUL_LNC004975)". Lineage: Eukaryota; Viridiplantae; Streptophyta; Magnoliopsida; Fabales; Fabaceae. The record is from RNAcentral.